This 626-nucleotide ribosomal RNA is filed under the name Codonanthopsis macradenia. RNAcentral describes it as "eukaryotic LSU rRNA". The stretch from base 244 to 399 matches the Rfam family "5.8S ribosomal RNA". Lineage: Eukaryota; Viridiplantae; Streptophyta; Magnoliopsida; Lamiales; Gesneriaceae. The record is from RNAcentral.
UCGAAACCUGCAAAGUAAACCCGCGAACACGUUCUCAACAUGUUUGGGUUCGCACCGUUGGAUGCCUUGUUGCAUCCCCCGUUGCGUUCUCUUUCUCGACGAUGCACGCUUGCGUGGGUCGUUCGGGUCAACUAACACCCCGGCGCGGAAUGCGCCAAGGAAAACUAUCACGAGAAUGCAUGCUCUUGUAAGGCAUCGUUUGCGGUGCUAUCACGGGGGAAUGUGCCUCUUGAAUCACUAAAUGACUCUCGGCAACGGAUAUCUUGGCUCUCGCAUCGAUGAAGAACGUAGCGAAAUGCGAUACUUGGUGUGAAUUGCAGAAUCCCGUGAACCAUCGAGUCUUUGAACGCAAGUUGCGCCCGAAGCCAUUAGGUUGAGGGCACGCCUGCCUGGGCGUCACGCAUCGCGUCRCCCCYUCCCACUCCACUCCUUUGUGAGUGUGGGUGGAUUUGAGGGGACGGAUAUUGGCCUCCCGUGCUCUUUUUGUGCGGCUGGCUUAAACUUGAUUCCUCGUCGAUGGAUGUCACGAUUGGUGGUGGUGGUUGAAUCAAUCGCAUGCUGUCGUGCAAGACUCUGUCUGACGGUGUACAUCAUUACAGACCUAACAGCGCAAUGCGCUUUCGACU